This 379-nucleotide ribosomal RNA is filed under the name uncultured eukaryote. RNAcentral describes it as "partial 18S ribosomal RNA". It matches the Rfam family "Eukaryotic small subunit ribosomal RNA", at positions 592 to 976 of the family's 1831-position model. The record is from RNAcentral.
CAAUAGCGUAUAUUUAAGUUGUUGCAGUUAAAAAGCUCGUAGUUGGAUUUCGGAUGGGAUUUGCCGGUCCGUCGUUACGAUGUGCACUGGCCAGUCCUAUCUUGUUGUCGGGGACUAGCUCCUUGGAUUCACUUCCUGGGACUAGGAGCUGACGAGGUUACUUUGAGUAAAUUAGAGUGUUCAAAGCAAGCCUACGCUCUGAAUACAUUAGCAUGGAAUAACACGAUAGGACUCUGGCUUAUCUUGUUGGUCUGUGGGACCAGAGUAAUGAUUAAGAGGGACAGUCGGGGACAUUCGUAUUUCAUUGUCAGAGGUGAAAUUCUUGGAUUUAUGAAAGACGAACUUCUGCGAAAGCAUUUGUCAAGGAUGUUUNCAUUAA